RNAcentral lists this ribosomal RNA (275 nucleotides) under uncultured Staphylococcus sp. RNAcentral's name for it is "partial 16S ribosomal RNA". It matches the Rfam family "Bacterial small subunit ribosomal RNA", at positions 86 to 354 of the family's 1533-position model. The record is from RNAcentral. Lineage: Bacteria; Bacillati; Bacillota; Bacilli; Caryophanales; Staphylococcaceae.
CUGACGUUAGCGGCGGACGGGUGAGUAACACGUGGGUAACCUACCUAUAAGACUGGGAUAACUCCGGGAAACCGGGGCUAAUACCGGAUAAUACAUGAAACCGCAUGGUUUCAUGAUGAAAGACGGUUUUGCUGUCACUUAUAGAUGGACCCGCGGCGUAUUAGCUAGUUGGUAAGGUAACGGCUUACCAAGGCAACGAUACGUAGCCGACCUGAGAGGGUGAUCGGCCACACUGGAACUGAGACACGGUCCAGACUCCUACGGGGGCAGCAGGC